CUACGUGCCAGCAGCCGCGGUAAUACGGAAGGUCCAGGCGUUAUCCGGAUUUAUUGGGUUUAAAGGGAGUGUAGGCGGUUUGUUAAGCGUGUUGUGAAAUUUAGGUGCUCAACAUUUAACUUGCAGCGCGAACUGUCAGACUUGAGUACACGCAACGUAUGCGGAAUUCAUGGUGUAGCGGUGAAAUGCUUAGAUAUCAUGAAGAACUCCGAUUGCGAAGGCAGCAUACGGGAGUGUAACUGACGCUUAAGCUCGAAGGUGCGGGUAUCGAACAGGAUUAGAUACCCUGGUAGUCCGCACAGUAAACGAUGGAUGCCCGCUGUUAGCGCCUGGCGUUAGCGGCUAAGCGAAAGCAUUAAGCAUCCCACCUGGGGAGUACGCCGGCAACGGUGAAACUCAAAGGAAUUGACGGGGGCCCGCACAAGCGGAGGAACAUGUGGUUUAAUUCGAUGAUACGCGAGGAACCUUACCCGGGCUUGAAUUGCAGAGGAAUUAUUUAG
This 500-nucleotide ribosomal RNA is filed under the name uncultured bacterium. RNAcentral's name for it is "bacterial SSU rRNA". It matches the Rfam family "Bacterial small subunit ribosomal RNA", at positions 501 to 1003 of the family's 1533-position model. The record is from RNAcentral.